UAAAUCUGUUGGGCAAUUUCUUGGCACUCAGACAACAAUUCUGAGCGCUACUCUGCUGGACAGGACAAGGUUUAAAAAAAAAAAAAGAAUAUGCAGGAGCAUCGCAAACUUCAAAGUCUUCUGGAGAACUGCCUGUUCGUAAAAGCCGAGAAGUGUUCAGCAAUACGGAAAGGAACUAUGACGUGGGUGACAGAGAGCUGCUAGGGAUAAAAUUGGCCCUUGAGAAGUGGCGCCACUGGCUGGAGGGGGCCAAGCAUCCUAUCCAAGUCUGGACUGAUCACAAGAACCUUGCCUACCUACAGUCAGCCAAGAGACUAAACCCACAUCAUUCUCCCUGGUCGUCAUUUUUCUCUCGUUUCGACUUAUGUAUUUCUUUCAGACCUGGACCAAAGAAUACUAAGCCGGAUGCCCUCUCCAGACAAUUCGCCACAGACUAUUUGGUGAGGGAACCUGCGCCCAUCAUACUGCCCAGUCAGAUGGUCGGUGCACUCAGAUGGGAGAUUGAGGAGACUGUUCUAAAGGCUCAACAACAGGAGCCUGAUCCUGGUAAUGGGCCACCUAACCAUAUCUACGUCCCUCUACAGUACGAGCCCAAUUAAUCAAUUUGCUACACAUAGCAAAGUUUUCUGCUCAUCCGGGUGUUAGUAGAACUAUUGCAUUGGUUCAAAGAAGGUUUUGGUGGCCAUCAUUACAUAAAGAUGUGAAGGAAUUUGUUCAGUCUUGUGCUACUUGUGCCAGGAAUAAGUCUUGCAACCAGCCUUCUGCGGGUCUUCUCCAACCUGUAAGCAUCCCAAGUCGACCCUGGUCUCACAUAGCUUUGGAUUUUGUUACUGGUCUUCCCCUCUCCUCAGGUAUGACAACAAUUCUCACUAUUGUGGACCGUUUUUCUAAAGCAUGUCAUCUCAUCCCCCUCAGAAAACUUCCUUCAGCCCUUCAAACUUCCAAACUCCUCAAAAAACAAGUUUUUUGUCUCCAUGGAAUUCCGCAGGACAUCUUAUCAGACCAAGGCCCACAGUUCAUAUUGCAGGUUUGGAAACAGUUUUGUUUAGCUGUCGGAGCCAGGGUUUCAUUGACUUCAGGUUACCACCCACAGUCAAAUGGUCAGACUGAAAGAUUAAAUCAGCAGCUAGAAUCAACCCUACGAUGUCUCACGUCCACUAACCCUUCUGACUGGUGUGCAUAUCUAUCUUGGGUAGAGUAUGCCUUAAAUUCACACAUUUCCUCUGUUCACCUUUUGAGGCCUCACUGGGCUAUCAGCCACCCCGGUUUGCUGCCGAUGAAAAAGAUGUCACUGUGUCAUCCGUCCACCAACAUGUCCACCGCUGGAAGACCAUCUGGAACUCAACUGCCCAGAGCCUUCACCGCACUGCAGAUCAGAACAAGCGUUUCGCUGAUCGCAGACCUGCACCUGAGUAUCAGCCUGGACAAAAGGUUUGGUUAUCGGCACGUGAUGUGCCCCUUAAGUCCUUGUCAAGGAAUCUUUCGCCUCGUUUCAUUGGUCCCUAUGAGAUAGAGAUGAUAAUUAGUCCGUCUGCUGUUCGUCUUCGCCUACCUGCAAAUCUUCGUAUCCAUCCUACCUUCCAUGUCUCCCAGAUCAAACUAGUGGUCUCCAGUGAUUUGUGGAUUUCAUGGAUUAGAAAGAUCCUGCCUCCUAUCUUCGUUUGGAUUCACAUCAAGCUGGCAGCUUUCUGCUCUCUUUGUCUCCUGAACCAAGCCAUAAGCGUACCCUGUCCACCCUCCAAUGUAAGCCACCGCACAUCAAACUCCUCUUGUUCCGAGCUCACACAGAACAGCACCAAGAAAACUCUCUACGGAUAUCUCUGCAAAAGACCUGGAUCCUGAAUCUCAUUCCCCCUGGCCACCUGACCACCGUUACCCAUGAAGUUUUCGUCCUUUUCGUUCCUGAUUCCAUCAUCAAUAAAACAGUCUUUAUUUUA
This is a long non-coding RNA of Girardinichthys multiradiatus, 1937 nucleotides long. RefSeq lists it as uncharacterized. NCBI's taxonomy places the organism in Eukaryota, Metazoa, Chordata, Actinopteri, Cyprinodontiformes, Goodeidae. The transcript is spliced from 3 exons. The record is from RefSeq and is a predicted model, not a curated record.